Molecule: ribosomal RNA, 484 nt
Filed under: uncultured bacterium
Lineage: Bacteria
Description: partial 16S ribosomal RNA
Rfam family: Bacterial small subunit ribosomal RNA
Source: RNAcentral
AUUGAACGCUGGCGGCAGGCCUAACACAUGCAAGUCGAGCGGAUGAAGGGUGCUUGCUUCUGGUUUCAGCGGCGCACGGGUGUGUAAUGCCUAUGAAUCUCCCUGGUUGUGGUGUAUAACGUCUUGAAACGGGCGCUACUACCGCAUACUUCCUGCUGCUGCUAGUGGGGGAUCUUCGGACCUCAUGCUCUCAUAUGAGCCUAGGUCGGAUUAGCUAGCUGGUGGGUUAAAGGCCUACCAAGGCGACGAUCCGUAACUGGACUGAGAGGAGGAUAAGUCACACUGGAACGGAGACACGGUCAAGACGCCUAAGGGAGGGAGCAGAGGGGAAUAGGAGACAAUGGGCGAAAGCAUGAUCCAGCGAGGGCGCGUGUGUGAAGAAGGUCUUCGGAGUGUAAAGAACGUUAAGGGGGGAGGAAGGGCAGUAAGUUAAGACCUAGCGGGUGUGACGGUAACAACAGAAGAAGCACCGGCUAACUACGUG